This 400-nucleotide ribosomal RNA is filed under the name Enterobacter sp. RNAcentral describes it as "bacterial SSU rRNA". It matches the Rfam family "Bacterial small subunit ribosomal RNA", at positions 56 to 452 of the family's 1533-position model. Lineage: Bacteria; Pseudomonadati; Pseudomonadota; Gammaproteobacteria; Enterobacterales; Enterobacteriaceae. The record is from RNAcentral.
UGACAAGUCGAGCGGCAGCGGAAGUAGCUUGCUACUUUGCCGGCGAGCGGCGGACGGGUGAGUAAUGUCUGGGAAACUGCCUGAUGGAGGGGGAUAACUACUGGAAACGGUAGCUAAUACCGCAUAACGUCGCAAGACCAAAGAGGGGGACCUUCGGGCCUCUUGCCAUCAGAUGUGCCCAGAUGGGAUUAGCUAGUAGGUGGGGUAACGGCUCACCUAGGCGACGAUCCCUAGCUGGUCUGAGAGGAUGACCAGCCACACUGGAACUGAGACACGGUCCAGACUCCUACGGGAGGCAGCAGUGGGGAAUAUUGCACAAUGGGCGCAAGCCUGAUGCAGCCAUGCCGCGUGUAUGAAAAAGGCCUUCGGGUUGUAAAGUACUUUCAGCGGAGAAGAAGGU